Molecule: small nuclear RNA, 23 nt
Filed under: Arabidopsis thaliana (thale cress)
Lineage: Eukaryota; Viridiplantae; Streptophyta; Magnoliopsida; Brassicales; Brassicaceae
Description: snRNA_17644
Source: RNAcentral
UCAUCUAAGCCCAUUAUUUAGAU